This 253-nucleotide ribosomal RNA is filed under the name uncultured bacterium. RNAcentral's name for it is "partial 16S ribosomal RNA". It matches the Rfam family "Bacterial small subunit ribosomal RNA", at positions 524 to 776 of the family's 1533-position model. The record is from RNAcentral.
UACGCACGGGGCGAGCGUUGUUCGAAAUUACUGUGCUUAAAGCGCACGUAGGCGGCUUUGUAAGCUAGAGGUGAAAGCCUGGGGCUCAACUCCGGAAUUGCCUUUAAGACUGCAUCGCUAGAAUUGUGGAGAGGUAAGUGGAAUUCCGAGUGUAGAGGUGAAAUUCGUAGAUAUACGGAAGAACACCAGUGGCGAAGGCGACUUACUGGAUACAUAUUGACGCUGAGGUGCGAAAGCGUGGGGAGCAAACAGG